UGGGGAAUUUUGGACAAUGGGCGCAAGCCUGAUCCAGCCAUGCCGCGUGCAGGAUGAAGGCCCUCGGGUUGUAAACUGCUUUUGUACGGAACGAAAAGCCUCUUUCUAAUAAAGAGGGGUGAUGACGGUACCAUAAGAAUAAGCACCGGCUAACUACGUGCCAGCAGCCGCGGUAAUACGUAGGGUGCGAGCGUUAAUCGGAAUUACUGGGCGUAAAGCGUGCGCAGGCGGUCUUGCAAGACAGUGGUGAAAUCCCCGGGCUCAACCUGGGAACUGCCAUUGUGACUGCAAGGCUGGAGUACGGCAGAGGGGGAUGGAAUUCCGCGUGUAGCAGUGAAAUGCGUAGAUAUGCGGAGGAACACCGAUGGCGAAGGCAGUCCCCUGGGCCUGUACUGACGCUCAUGCACGAAAGCGUGGGGAGCAAACA
RNAcentral lists this ribosomal RNA (427 nucleotides) under uncultured bacterium. RNAcentral describes it as "bacterial SSU rRNA". It matches the Rfam family "Bacterial small subunit ribosomal RNA", at positions 355 to 774 of the family's 1533-position model. The record is from RNAcentral.